GAGUAACCUGCCCUUGACUCUGGGAUAAGCCUGGGAAACCGGGUCUAAUACUGGAUACGACCUUCUGGCGCAUGCCAUGUUGGUGGAAAGCUUUUGUGGUUUUGGAUGGACUCGCGGCCUAUCAGCUUGUUGGUGGGGUAAUGGCCUACCAAGGCGACGACGGGUAGCCGGCCUGAGAGGGUGACCGGCCACACUGGGACUGAGACACGGCCCAGACUCCUACGGGAGGCAGCAGUGGGGAAUAUUGCACAAUGGGCGCAAGCCUGAUGCAGCGACGCCGCGUGAGGGAUGAAGGCCUUCGGGUUGUAAACCUCUUUCAGUAGGGAAGAAGCCUGUCUUUUGGGUGGGUGACGGUACCUGCAGAAGAAGCGCCGGCUAACUACGUGCCAGCAGCCGCGGUAAUACGUAGGGCGCAAGCGUUAUCCGGAAUUAUUGGGCGUAAAGAGCUCGUAGGCGGUUUGUCGCGUCUGCCGUGAAAGUCCGGGGCUUAACUCCGGAUCUGCGGUGGGUACGGGCAGACUAGAGUGCAGUAGGGGAGACUGGAAUUCCUGGUGUAGCGGUGAAAUGCGCAGAUAUCAGGAGGAACACCGAUGGCGAA
This 598-nucleotide ribosomal RNA is filed under the name unidentified microorganism. Its description in RNAcentral is "bacterial SSU rRNA". It matches the Rfam family "Bacterial small subunit ribosomal RNA", at positions 119 to 719 of the family's 1533-position model. The record is from RNAcentral.